AGUGAACGCUGGCGGUAGGCCUAACACAUGCAAGUCGAACGGCAGCACAGUAAGAGCUUGCUCUUACGGGUGGCGAGUGGCGGACGGGUGAGGAAUACAUCGGAAUCUACUUUUUCGUGGGGGACAACGUAGGGAAACUUACGCUAAUACCGCAUACGACCUACGGAUGAAAGCAGGGGAUCUUCGGACCUUGCGCGAUUGAAUGAGCCGAUGUCGGAUUAGCUAGUUGGCGGGGUAAAGGCCCACCAAGGCGACGAUCCGUAGCUGGUCUGAGAGGAUGAUCAGCCACACUGGAACUGAGACACGGUCCAGACUCCUACGGGAGGCAGCAGUGGGGAAUAUUGGACAAUGGGCGCAAGCCUGAUCCAGCCAUACCGCGUGGGUGAAGAAGGCCUUCGGGUUGUAAAGCCCUUUUGUUGGGAAAGAAAAGCAGCAGGUUAAUACCCCGCUGUUCUGACGGUACCCAAAGAAUAAGCACCGGCUAACUUCGUG
Molecule: ribosomal RNA, 492 nt
Filed under: uncultured bacterium
Lineage: Bacteria
Description: partial 16S ribosomal RNA
Rfam family: Bacterial small subunit ribosomal RNA
Source: RNAcentral